This 78-nucleotide transfer RNA is filed under the name Candidatus Bathyarchaeota archaeon. RNAcentral's name for it is "tRNA-Arg". It matches the Rfam family "tRNA". Rfam says of the family: Transfer RNA (tRNA) molecules are approximately 80 nucleotides in length. Their secondary structure includes four short double-helical elements and three loops (D, anti-codon, and T loops). Further hydrogen bonds mediate the characteristic L-shaped molecular structure. tRNAs have two regions of fundamental functional importance: the anti-codon, which is responsible for specific mRNA codon recognition, and the 3' end, to which the tRNAs corresponding amino acid is attached (by aminoacyl-tRNA synthetases). tRNAs cope with the degeneracy of the genetic code in two manners: having more than one tRNA (with a specific anti-codon) for a particular amino acid; and 'wobble' base-pairing, i.e. permitting non-standard base-pairing at the 3rd anti-codon position. RNAcentral also lists the same sequence under 1 other name. The record is from RNAcentral. Lineage: Archaea; Thermoproteati; Candidatus Bathyarchaeota.
GGGCCUGUAGCGCAGUUUGGAUAGCGUGGCAGCCUCCUAAGCUGUAAGUCGGGGGUUCAAAUCCCUCCAGGCCCGCCA